GGGGGACUGAGACACGGCCCCCACUCCUACGGGAGGCAGCAGCUAAGAAUAUUGCACAAUGGACGAAAGUCUGAUGCAGCGACACCGCGUGAAGGAUGAAGGCCCUAGGGUUGUAAACUUCUUUUAUUAGGGAAUAGCAAGGAAGGUACCUAAUGAAUAAGCAACGGCUAACUACGUGCCAGCAGCCGCGGUAAUACGUAGGUUGCAAACGUUGUCCGGAAUCACUGGGCGUAAAGGGUCCGUAGGCGGUUUGAUAAGUCUCAUAUGAAAGCUUCAAGCUCAACUUGGAGAUGUUGUGAGAUACUGUCAGACUAGAGACUGUUAGAGGUAAGUGGAAUUCCAGGUGUAGUGGUGAAAUGCGUAGAUAUCUGGAGGAACACCAGUGGCGAAAGCGACUUACUGGGACAGUUCUGACGCUAAGGGACGAAAGCGUGGGGAGCGAACCGGAUUAGAUACCCGGGUAGUCCACGCUGUAAACGAUGAUUGCUAGGUUUUCGGGGCAUCGACCCCUCGUGAGCCGAAGUUAACGCGUUAAGCAAUCCGCCUGAGUAGUACGGCCGCAAGGCUAAAACUCAAAGGAAUUGACGGGGGACCGCACAAGCAGCGGAGCGUGUGGUUUAAUUCGAUGGUAAGCGAAGAACCUUACCAGGGUUUGACAUGUAAGUAGUACUGAACCGAAAGGGGAUGGACCCGCAAGGGAGCUUACACAGGUGUUGCAUGGUUGUCGUCAGCUCGUGCCGUGAGGUGUUGGGUUAAGUCCCGCAACGAGCGCAACCCUCUUUGUUAGUUGCACUCUCUAACGAUACUGCCCUUAAAAGGGAGGAAGGUGGGGAUGACGUCAAAUCAUCAUGGCUCUUACACCCUGGGCUACACACACGCUACAAUGGCAAGUACAGACGGUCGCCAACCCGCGAGG
Molecule: ribosomal RNA, 916 nt
Filed under: marine metagenome
Description: bacterial SSU rRNA
Rfam family: Bacterial small subunit ribosomal RNA
Source: RNAcentral